RNAcentral lists this ribosomal RNA (520 nucleotides) under uncultured bacterium. Its description in RNAcentral is "bacterial SSU rRNA". It matches the Rfam family "Bacterial small subunit ribosomal RNA", at positions 988 to 1509 of the family's 1533-position model. The record is from RNAcentral.
CCAGAGAACUUAGCAGAGAUGCUUUGGUGCCUUCGGGAACUCUGAGACAGGUGCUGCAUGGCUGUCGUCAGCUCGUGUUGUGAAAUGUUGGUUAAGUCCCGCAACGAGCGCAACCCCUAUCCUUUGUUGCCAGCGAUUCGGUCGGGAACUCAAAGGAGACUGCCGGUGAUAAACCGGAGGAAGGUGGGGAUGACGUCAAGUCAUCAUGGCCCUUACGAGUAGGGCUACACACGUGCUACAAUGGCGCAUACAAAGAGAAGCGACCUCGCGAGAGCAAGCGGACCUCAUAAAGUGCGUCGUAGUCCGGAUUGGAGUCUGCAACUCGACUCCAUGAAGUCGGAAUCGCUAGUAAUCGUAGAUCAGAAUGCUACGGUGAAUACGUUCCCGGGCCUUGUACACACCGCCCGUCACACCAUGGGAGUGGGUUGCAAAAGAAGUAGAUAGCUUAACCUUCGGGAGGGCGUUUACCACUUUGUGAUUCAUGACUGGGGUGAAGUCGUAACAAGGUAGGCGUAGCGAG